Molecule: long non-coding RNA, 233 nt
Filed under: Vigna radiata
Lineage: Eukaryota; Viridiplantae; Streptophyta; Magnoliopsida; Fabales; Fabaceae
Description: long non-coding RNA (VRAD_LNC000134)
Source: RNAcentral
CGAGGAGGAGGCACCUGGCGUGGACGCUGGGCGAAUUUGCGAUUAGAGGCAAACCGCCGAGCGCUAGACCCUUGGCGCCGGGCGGUGGCGCGAUUAUGGGCAAACCGCCUGGCAGCAUAAGUGUGACGUCGGGUGGUUGUCUGCUGGGCUUGGGCCUGUUUUCUAGUGACGUUCCUCAGCUAUAAAUAGCCAUGUUACGAUUUCAUUCUCAUUCUUUUGGCAUAAGAGGGCGG